CCAUUGAUGCACCUCCAAGAAAUGUUCCUCCCUGUGUUUUCAUGUAUGUGCAGGGUCCUGCCACAGCAGUCAUCACCAGUUGUGGGAAAAAAGUCCUUCCAGGGGUUCUAUAGUGUAUGAAGUCAUCUUGGCAGGACACUGAGUGGAGACUGUCCUAGCUGAUGUCUCAGGAGCAG
This is a long non-coding RNA of Erinaceus europaeus (western European hedgehog), 176 nucleotides long. RefSeq lists it as uncharacterized. NCBI's taxonomy places the organism in Eukaryota, Metazoa, Chordata, Mammalia, Eulipotyphla, Erinaceidae. The transcript is spliced from 3 exons. The record is from RefSeq and is a predicted model, not a curated record.